This 375-nucleotide ribosomal RNA is filed under the name uncultured bacterium. Its description in RNAcentral is "bacterial SSU rRNA". It matches the Rfam family "Bacterial small subunit ribosomal RNA", at positions 523 to 897 of the family's 1533-position model. The record is from RNAcentral.
AUACGUAGGUGGCAAGCGUUAUCCGGAUUUACUGGGUGUAAAGGGCGUGUAGGCGGGACUGCAAGUCAGAUGUGAAAUUCCAGGGCUCAACCCUGGACCUGCAUUUGAAACUGUGGUUCUUGAGUGAUGGAGAGGCAGGCGGGAUUGCCUGUGUAGCGGUGAAAUGCGUAGAUAUAGGGAGGAACACCAGUGACGAAGGCGGCCUGCUGGACAUUAACUGACGCUGAGGCGCGAAAGCGUGGGGAGCAAACAGGAUUAGAUACCCUGGUAGUCCACGCUGUAAACGAUGGAUACUAGGUGUGGGGGGACUGACCCCUUCCGUGCCGCAGUUAACACAAUAAGUAUCCCACCUGGGGAGUACGAUCGCAAGGUUGA